AUUGAACGCUGGCGGCAGGCCUAACACAUGCAAGUCGAGCGGCAGCGGAAAGUAGCUUGCUACUUUGCCGGCGAGCGGCGGACGGGUGAGUAAUGUCUGGGAAACUGCCUGAUGGAGGGGGAUAACUACUGGAAACGGUAGCUAAUACCGCAUAACGUCGCAAGACCAAAGAGGGGGACCUUCGGGCCUCUUGCCAUCAGAUGUGCCCAGAUGGGAUUAGCUAGUAGGUGGGGUAACGGCUCACCUAGGCGACGAUCCCUAGCUGGUCUGAGAGGAUGACCAGCCACACUGGAACGGAGACACGGUCCAGACUCCUACGGGAGGCAGCAGUGGGGAAUAUUGCACAAUGGGCGCAAGCCUGAUGCAGCCAUGCCGCGUGUAUGAAGAAGGCCUUCGGGUUGUAAAGUACUUUCAGCGGGGAGGAAGGUGUUGAGGUUAAUAACCUCAGCAAUUGACGUUACCCGCAGAAGAAGCACCGGCUAACUCCGUG
This 490-nucleotide ribosomal RNA is filed under the name uncultured bacterium. RNAcentral's name for it is "partial 16S ribosomal RNA". It matches the Rfam family "Bacterial small subunit ribosomal RNA", at positions 30 to 507 of the family's 1533-position model. The record is from RNAcentral.